UCUUUUUUGGUUUAGUCCAAGCGGAUGACGGGAGCUUGCUCCUUGAUUCAGCGGCGGACGGGUGACUAAUGCCUAGGAAUCUGCCUGGUAGUGGGGGACAACGUUUCGAAAGGAACGCUAAUACCGCAUACGUCCUACGGGAGAAAGCAGGGGACCUUCGGGCCUUGCGCUAUCAGAUGAGCCUAGGUCGGAUUAGCUAGUUGGUGAGGUAAUGGCUCACCAAGGCGACGAUCCGUAACUGGUCUGAGAGGAUGAUCAGUCACACUGGAACUGAGACACGGUCCAGACUCCUACGGGAGGCAGCAGUGGGGAAUAUUGGACAAUGGGCGAAAGCCUGAUCCAGCCAUGCCGCGUGUGUGAAGAAGGUCUUCGGAUUGUAAAGCACUUUAAGUUGGGAGGAAGGGCAGUAAGUUAAUACCUUGCUGUUUUGACGUUACCGACAGAAUAAGCACCGGCUAACUCUGUGCCAGCAGCCGCGGUAAUACAGAGGGUGCAAGCGUUAAUCGGAAUUACUGGGCGUAAAGCGCGCGUAGGUGGUUCGUUAAGUUGGAUGUGAAAGCCCCGGGCUCAACCUGGGAACUGCAUCCAAAACUGGCGAGCUAGAGUACGGUAGAGGGUGGUGGAAUUUCCUGUGUAGCGGUGAAAUGCGUAGAUAUAGGAAGGAACACCAGUGGCGAAGGCGACCACCUGGACUGAUACUGACACUGAGGUGCGAAGCGUGGGGAGCAACAGGAUUAGAUACCCUGGUAGUCCACGCCGUAAACGAUGUCAACUAGCCGUUGGGAUUCCUUGAGAUUUUAGUGCGCAGCUAACGCAUUAAGUUGACCGCCUGGGGAGUACGGCCGCAAGGUUAAACUCAAAUGAAUUGACGGGGGCCCGCACAAGCGAUGGAGCAUUGUGUUUUAUUCGAAGC
RNAcentral lists this ribosomal RNA (913 nucleotides) under Pseudomonas taiwanensis. RNAcentral describes it as "bacterial SSU rRNA". It matches the Rfam family "Bacterial small subunit ribosomal RNA", at positions 49 to 957 of the family's 1533-position model. Lineage: Bacteria; Pseudomonadati; Pseudomonadota; Gammaproteobacteria; Pseudomonadales; Pseudomonadaceae. The record is from RNAcentral.